Molecule: transfer RNA, 63 nt
Filed under: marine eukaryotic metagenome
Rfam family: tRNA
About the family: Transfer RNA (tRNA) molecules are approximately 80 nucleotides in length. Their secondary structure includes four short double-helical elements and three loops (D, anti-codon, and T loops).
Source: RNAcentral
GAGUAGCUCAAUGGUAGAGCGGGUGGCUGUUAACCACUAGGUUGGGGGUUCAAGUCCCUCCUC